RNAcentral lists this ribosomal RNA (1116 nucleotides) under uncultured bacterium. RNAcentral's name for it is "bacterial SSU rRNA". It matches the Rfam family "Bacterial small subunit ribosomal RNA", at positions 390 to 1499 of the family's 1533-position model. The record is from RNAcentral.
AGCCAUGCCGCGUGUGUGAAGAAGGCCUUUUGGUUGUAAAGCACUUUAAGCAGUGAAGAAGACCUAACGGUUAAUACCCGUUAGCGAUGACAUUAGCUGCAGAAUAAGCACCGGCUAACUCUGUGCCAGCAGCCGCGGUAAUACAGAGGGUGCAAGCGUUAAUCGGAAUUACUGGGCGUAAAGCGAGCGUAGGUGGCUUGAUAAGUCAGAUGUGAAAUCCCCGGGCUUAACCUGGGAACUGCAUCUGAUACUGUUGGGCUAGAGUAGGUGAGAGGGAGGUAGAAUUUCAGGUGUAGCGGUGAAAUGCGUAGAGAUCUGAAGGAAUACCGAUGGGCGAAGGCAGCCUCCUGGCAUCAUACUGACACUGAGGUUCGAAAGCGUGGGUAGCAAACAGGAUUAGAUACCCUGGUAGUCCACGCCGUAAACGAUGUCUACUAGUCGUUGGGGAACUUGAUUCCUUAGUGACGCAGCUAACGCAAUAAGUAGACCGCCUGGGGAGUACGGCCGCAAGGUUAAAACUCAAAUGAAUUGACGGGGGCCCGCACAAGCGGUGGAGCAUGUGGUUUAAUUCGAUGCAACGCGAAGAACCUUACCUGGUCUUGACAUAUCUAGAAUCCUGCAGAGAUGCGGGAGUGCCUUCGGGAAUUAGAAUACAGGUGCUGCAUGGCUGUCGUCAGCUCGUGUCGUGAGAUGUUGGGUUAAGUCCCGCAACGAGCGCAACCCUUUUCCUUAGUUACCAGCGGUUUGGCCGGGGACUCUAAGGAUACUGCCAGUGACAAACUGGAGGAAGGCGGGGACGACGUCAAGUCAUCAUGGCCCUUACGACCAGGGCUACACACGUGCUACAAUGGUAGGUACAGAGGGCAGCUACACAGCGAUGUGAUGCGAAUCUCAAAAAGCCUAUCGUAGUCCAGAUUGGAGUCUGCAACUCGACUCCAUGAAGUAGGAAUCGCUAGUAAUCGCGGAUCAGAAUGCCGCGGUGAAUACGUUCCCGGGCCUUGUACACACCGCCCGUCACACCAUGGGAGUUGAUUGCACCAGAAGUGGGUAGCCUAACUUUUAGAGGGCGCUCACCACGGUGUGGUUGAUGACUGGGGUGAAGUCGUAACAAGGUAA